Molecule: ribosomal RNA, 495 nt
Filed under: uncultured bacterium
Lineage: Bacteria
Description: partial 16S ribosomal RNA
Rfam family: Bacterial small subunit ribosomal RNA
Source: RNAcentral
GACGAACGCUGGCGGCGUGCCUAAUACAUGCAAGUAGAACGCUGAAGGAGGAGCUUGCUCUUCUGGAUGAGUUGCGAACGGGUGAGUAACGCGUAGGUAACCUGCCUGGUAGCGGGGGAUAACUAUUGGAAACGAUAGCUAAUACCGCAUAAGAGUAGAUGUUGCAUGACAUUUACUUAAAAGGUGCAAUUGCAUCACUACCAGAUGGACCUGCGUUGUAUUAGCUAGUUGGUGGGGUAACGGCUUACCAAGGCGACGAUACAUAGCCGACCUGAGAGGGUGAUCGGCCACACUGGGACUGAGACACGGCCCAGACUCCUACGGGAGGCAGCAGUAGGAAAUCUUCGGCAAUGGACGGAAGUCUGACCGAGCAACGCCGCGUGAGUGAAGAAGGUUUUCGGAUCGUAAAGCUCUGUUGUAAGAGAAGAACGAGUGUGAGAGUGGAAAGUUCACACUGUGACGGUAUCUUACCAGAAAGGGACGGCUAACUACGUG